Long non-coding RNA from Syzygium oleosum, 763 nucleotides. RefSeq lists it as uncharacterized. Lineage: Eukaryota; Viridiplantae; Streptophyta; Magnoliopsida; Myrtales; Myrtaceae. The record is from RefSeq and is a predicted model, not a curated record. The transcript is spliced from 2 exons.
AGUUCCUUCCUCGGUUUAUAUUAGCUUUCAUAGGUGCAAUCAUUUGUGGGUAUGGCUCUAUUUCUCUCUUUCUUGUCUCAUUUUUUUUGGCUUGCGAAUUCUCGUUUAGGGUGGAGUCUCUCUAUUCGGUUCUCGAUGAAUCGAAACAUGCCAUCGUUUUUCUUGAGGUUGCCCUGUCAAUUGCGAAACCAGAUUCCCUAUCCUAACACGUCUCCUCUCUCUUAUAACCUCAUUCUCACUCUCUAUCUCUCAGACUCUCCUCUCCUGUCGCUUGCUUAGCACAGUUGAGCUCUUGAGUUGCACCUCACCGAUUUUGAGUUGCCGCCGCGCCUCGCUCGCUAAUUUGCCUUUGGAACCGAGGAAUGGAAGGUAACGAUUUCAGUCAACUCAAGGAAGGGGAACAAAGAAGACCGAUGUGUAUGGACAAUAGAUAAAGAAAAUGCGUUUCUAAAUGAUCUUGAAGAACUAGUUGCACGAGGAACAGCUUCUCCAAGAUGAUAGACGGGAAAGACUAAUGAUUUGUUUUUUGAAUGUGCUAUGUCUUGUGAAGUUUGGAGCUUGGUUUAUAGCUUUUGUGGUAUUCGGUGAGUUAGGUAGAGUAGGAGCGAUGGGUUGUAGUACAUUUGUAAGAGUUGGAAAGGGAAAGUUAUCCCUAAUUUUUUUACUAUAAGUAAUUGGUGUGUUGCCUUUGUUGCUUUUAUGAAAAUGAACAACGUCGAACAAUGUUCUUUUCGCUAUUUCUUGGAAUCAUAUGUUUUCUGAA